Molecule: ribosomal RNA, 253 nt
Filed under: uncultured bacterium
Lineage: Bacteria
Description: partial 16S ribosomal RNA
Rfam family: Bacterial small subunit ribosomal RNA
Source: RNAcentral
UACGUAGGGUGCAAGCGUUGUCCGGAAUUAUUGGGCGUAAAGAGCUCGUAGGCGGUUUGUCGCGUCGGCUGUGAAAGCCCGGAGCUCAACUCCGGGUCUGCAGUCGAUACGGGCAGACUUGAGUGUUGCAGGGGAGACUGGAAUUCCUGGUGUAGCGGUGAAAUGCGCAGAUAUCAGGAGGAACACCGAUGGCGAAGGCAGGUCUCUGGGCCACUACUGACGCUGAGAAGCGAAAGCAUGGGGAGCGAACAGG